Molecule: long non-coding RNA, 1336 nt
Organism: Ostrea edulis (European flat oyster)
Lineage: Eukaryota; Metazoa; Mollusca; Bivalvia; Ostreida; Ostreidae
Exons: 3
Source: RefSeq, a predicted model, not a curated record
UUUGGUACCGCUUGCAGGGCGGCGACCACGAGUUACCUGCCCCUAUACAAUGAGUUAAUUGCCCCUGUAUUUCAUCUGUUAAGUUGUACUUAAAAUAGGCUAACUCUUGCGCAAAAAAAGAUAGAAAAUAUCAAAUAUGGGAAAGCGGGACGAUAGACCAAACAUAUCUACGAAGAGACCAUUGGUGCCGGAAAUAUCUCUGUCUUUAGUAGUGUCCGCGAGGUAUAUUGAUUUAUAAAACAUGAGAUAUUAGUACCAUAUUGCCCGGGAAUCAAAAGAUUUUUGCAAGAUCGCAGAAUUCAGCUAGACACAAAAAAAGACAAUCACUACAGCCUUCCAAGAAGAUGGACUGCCUCACAAUAGUUUCCUUGAGGACUGUCUUGAAAUAUCCAGAGUUUAAGGAUCCGAAACAGUGACAUGUGAGAAAGUUGGUUGGCGGGGAUUUCUACUUUCACUUUUGAGGAUGCAGUAAACGGACGACAGGAGGGGAAGCUGCGCAUUUCCUCGUUGGAUGAUUUGUGUACAUGUGUGGACGUGGAUGUCAUUUCAGUGAGUUCACUUGGAUUUGAGAGGCUGAGCAAAGGCACAAAGAAAUUGUUUCCUGAGUAUAGAGUCUGAAACGAGGAUAUUGCAUCAUUCCUGAUCAGGCAAGUCUGGCUUGUUCAUUUAUUUUAUUUAUCAUUUCUUUUUUUCUUUUUUUUUGAAUUAUUUUUUAUUCAUUUAUUGGUUUACAAUAUUACAGAAGGUGAAAUGUACAUGUUUAACUAUUUCUGUGUAUCAUGUAUGUGUAUUUGUUUUAAUUUUUAAUUUUCUUUGGGGGGGGGGGGGGGGGCUGUUAUCAGUUUGUGUAGAGUGUCAGUUUUGUGUAUUACUUAAAGAUCAGUACCUACUGUUGAACAUUGGGCAGAUAUGUAAAUUGGCACUUGGUUGGUUUAUGCAGUCCUCCCUGACAUUGACAGGGCUUUCCCAUGGAGACUGUUUUCCAAGUUAUGCUAGAGUGUCAGUCAUCUAUCUGUGUCUCGCAAGUACUUGGUGCAGACAGCUAUCUAAUAUACAUGAUGAUUUCUUUUGGCAAGAUCUUUCUACUGGUACCAAGAUAUUUGCCCUUGUGACCUUGACCAUCUUUGGAAUUGGCCAUUAUCUGGGGCAUUUGUGUUUCACAAACACAUCUUGUUUUCAAAUAAGCCUGAAAACUGUCAAAUGUCAUACAGAUUAUUGCUCAGGAAAAGAUGUGCGCAUUUGUCGAGCAAAAUAAAAAUGAUAUAUAUUGUGUAUUAAUUUAAGAUGAAAAACAUACCGUACUUAAAUAUGAAUUUGCUCGACGCAUGUGCUGUAU